This 468-nucleotide ribosomal RNA is filed under the name uncultured bacterium. Its description in RNAcentral is "partial 16S ribosomal RNA". It matches the Rfam family "Bacterial small subunit ribosomal RNA", at positions 28 to 507 of the family's 1533-position model. The record is from RNAcentral.
GACGAACGCUGGCGGCGUGCUUAACACAUGCAAGUCGAACGGAAGGGCCCUGCUUUUGUGGGGUGCUCGAGUGGCGAACGGGUGAGUAACACGUGAGUAACCUGCCCUUGACUUUGGGAUAACUUCAGGAAACUGGGGCUAAUACCGGAUAGGAGCUCCUGCUGCAUGGUGGGGGUUGGAAAGUUUCGGCGGUUGGGGAUGGACUCGCGGCUUAUCAGCUUGUUGGUGGGGUAGUGGCUUACCAAGGCUUUGACGGGUAGCCGGCCUGAGAGGGUGACCGGCCACAUUGGGACUGAGAUACGGCCCAAACUCCUACGGGAGGCAGCAGUGGGGAAUAUUGCACAAUGGGCGGAAGCCUGAUGCAGCAACGCCGCGUGCGGGAUGACGGCCUUCGGGUUGUAAACCGCUUUCGCCUGUGACGAAGCGUGAGUGACGGUAAUGGGUAAAGAAGCACCGGCUAACUACGUG